This is a long non-coding RNA of Rhagoletis zephyria (snowberry fruit fly), 121 nucleotides long. RefSeq lists it as uncharacterized. The record is from RefSeq and is a predicted model, not a curated record. Lineage: Eukaryota; Metazoa; Arthropoda; Insecta; Diptera; Tephritidae.
CAUUUCCAACACUAAACAAACCUCUUAAGGGCCAUUCACAUAAGACUUUCCUCGCUUUGCUUGACAGUUCAAACUUUGACAACAAAGCGUGAAACGCAGAAGGUAUGCUACAAUAAACGCU